AACGAACGCUGGCGGCAUGCCUAACACAUGCAAGUCGAACGAGACCUUCGGGUCUAGUGGCGCACGGGUGCGUAACGCGUGGGAAUCUGCCCUUCGGAUCGGAAUAACUCAGGGAAACUUGAGCUAAUACCGGAUGAUGUCUUCGGACCAAAGAUUUAUCGCCGAGGGAUGAGCCCGCGUAGGAUUAGGUAGUUGGUGGGGUAAUGGCCCACCAAGCCGACGAUCCUUAGCUGGUCUGAGAGGAUGAUCAGCCACACUGGGACUGAGACACGGCCCAGACUCCUACGGGAGGCAGCAGUGGGGAAUAUUGGACAAUGGGCGAAAGCCUGAUCCAGCAAUGCCGCGUGAGUGAUGAAGGCCUUAGGGUUGUAAGGCUCUUUUACCAGGGAUGAUAAUGACAGUACCUGGAGAAUAAGCUCCGGCUAACUCCGUGCCAGCAGCCGCAGUAA
This 449-nucleotide ribosomal RNA is filed under the name uncultured bacterium. RNAcentral describes it as "partial 16S ribosomal RNA". It matches the Rfam family "Bacterial small subunit ribosomal RNA", at positions 29 to 523 of the family's 1533-position model. The record is from RNAcentral.